Molecule: long non-coding RNA, 381 nt
Filed under: Capsicum annuum
Lineage: Eukaryota; Viridiplantae; Streptophyta; Magnoliopsida; Solanales; Solanaceae
Description: long non-coding RNA (CANN_LNC015726)
Source: RNAcentral
UUUAUUAUCGUAUUUCUAUGACAUAUAUUUGCCAGCUGGACCACUGUGUGAAUCACGCAUAUUGAGCACGUCAGGAUCUGAAUAGGACCUUUGCAGGAAUAAAUAUUCCAGGGUGCUCAUAGGACCCUCACAAAUUUGAGGCAUGUUACAAUAAAUUUCACCAAAGUUUAGGUAUAUUUCUAAUCUUUUUCUCUUAAUAAUAAAUAGACAGUUAGACCUCUUUAUAACAAACCCUGGUUAUAACGAUAUUUCACUAUAGCGACCUUAUUUUCUUCGAAACAGAUUUUUCAUAUUAUAUGUUACUUCUCUAUAACGAAAUUCUACCUAUAACAACAUUGAUGUUUAUUAUAGUGGUAGACUGUUUAUAAAAUUAUCUCUCUA